RNAcentral lists this long non-coding RNA (545 nucleotides) under Chrysolophus pictus (golden pheasant). RNAcentral's name for it is "lncRNA (ENSCPIG00010000522.1)". Lineage: Eukaryota; Metazoa; Chordata; Aves; Galliformes; Phasianidae. The record is from RNAcentral.
GAAGGACUGAGUGUGUGUGGAGGAAACUGUGACCAGGAGCAGGAACGUGACUGUACGAAAAGAGUGUGGUUAGCAAUGCCUCCUAACUAGUUCAGAACUCGUCCAGAUGAAGUUAAAGAAAGGGACUGAGCAAGUGAUACCAAUCAUUGCUCAUGACUGAUGUGUGAAAACUUUUUCUCUGGAUGCUAAUUGUGAGACCAUUCUGUGUCAACAGAUCUACUUAAUAUCAAGGGAAAAGAACCUCAAGGACGUAUGUAGUAGACUCAAGGCAUAAAGUGUGUGUCAAAUACAGUUGUACACCAACUUCCUGUGAACACAUUCUGCUGCUUUUGAAGAAGAAAAUAAACAAGGAACUGGAGGAGAAAAAGGGGACAACAGGCAAUACAGAAGAUAAUUUAGAUCAUUAUCUGAACUUCCACCAGAUGAAUGACUUAAACCUGUCAUCAGCAACUGCAAUGCCCAGAGAACCAACUGUGUGUGAAGGGACUGAAGUGAAAAUUCAAGAGUGUCCUGUGGUCCUUCAGAUUUGUCAUUGUGAGCUGUGA